Molecule: ribosomal RNA, 497 nt
Filed under: uncultured bacterium
Lineage: Bacteria
Description: partial 16S ribosomal RNA
Rfam family: Bacterial small subunit ribosomal RNA
Source: RNAcentral
GAUGAACGCUGGCGGCGUGCCUAAUACAUGCAAGUCGAGCGAACAGAUAAGGAGCUUGCUCCUCUGACGUUAGCGGCGGACGGGUGAGUAACACGUGGAUAACCUACCUAUAAGACUGGGAUAACUUCGGGAAACCGGAGCUAAUACCGGAUAAUAUAUUGAACCGCAUGGUUCAAUAGUGAAAGACGGUUUUGCUGUCACUUAUAGAUGGAUCCGCGCCGCAUUAGCUAGUUGGUAAGGUAACGGCUUACCAAGGCAACGAUGCGUAGCCGACCUGAGAGGGUGAUCGGCCACACUGGAACUGAGACACGGUCCAGACUCCUACGGGAGGCAGCAGUAGGGAAUCUUCCGCAAUGGGCGAAAGCCUGACGGAGCAACGCCGCGUGAGUGAUGAAGGUCUUCGGAUCGUAAAGCUCUGUUAUUAGGGAAGAACAAAUGUGUAAGUAACUAUGCACGUCUUGACGGUACCUAAUGAGAAAGCAACGGCUAACUACGUG